RNAcentral lists this ribosomal RNA (378 nucleotides) under uncultured bacterium. RNAcentral's name for it is "bacterial SSU rRNA". It matches the Rfam family "Bacterial small subunit ribosomal RNA", at positions 28 to 398 of the family's 1533-position model. The record is from RNAcentral.
GACGAACGCUGGCGGCGCGCUUAACACAUGCAAGUCGAGCGAGAACCAGGCCUUCGGGCCUGGGGAAAGCGGCGAACGGGUGAGUAACACGUGGGUAACCCACCCUUGGUACCGGGAUAGCCUGGGGAAACCCGGAUUAAUACCGGAUGGCCCAACAGCUCUUCGGGGCGGUUGGAAAAGGUAGCUUCGGCCUCCGACCAAGGACGGGCCCGCGGCGGAUUAGCUUGUUGGCGGGGUAACGGCCCACCAAGGCAACGAUCCGUAGCNGGUCUGAGAGGACGAUCAGCCACACUGGGACUGAGACACGGCCCAGACUCCUACGGGAGGCAGCAGGUGGGGAAUCUUGCGCAAUGGGCGAAAGCCUGACGCAGCGACGCC